Molecule: long non-coding RNA, 1656 nt
Organism: Sciurus carolinensis (gray squirrel)
Lineage: Eukaryota; Metazoa; Chordata; Mammalia; Rodentia; Sciuridae
Exons: 3
Source: RefSeq, a predicted model, not a curated record
AGAUAAGGACAAUUGGAUGUACACAGAUCUUGACUGAAGAAAAUGCUGAAGAAUGUACCUCAGGAAAAAGGAGAUUCCAAGUGGAAGGGAAACAAGGAAGGAUUCUGACACUUCCAGAACCUGGGAAGAAACAUCUAAGCCCGCAGAAUGCAGAAAUCUGGAAGACAAGAGUCCCGAAUCCGUGUGUGUAGCAAGGUGUGGUGGGGCGCUCAGCGAAGCGAGGAGCGAGACAAUAGGAGAGAUCACAGGAAGCCCCUGGGUGGAAGUUAGAGCAGGAGGUCCCAGGGAUGCCGGCAAGUGGAAAGAAGGAGGAGAGAAGAAUCUCAGCAGCUGGAAAGAUCACUAUGCUGCACUGCACGGAUACAGAGCUCAAGAAACUUCCUCAGAGCGAUCGCUCUAUUAACACCCAAUUGGGACCCUCAGAAGGCUCGCUGGAAGCCGCGGUGGCCGUUAGUUUGUGUGCGGGGUCAGUCGCUGGCCGCGGAGCCAGUGAGCAACUGUGGCCCGACUUCAGCAAUGGCCUUCUCCCUCACCGCUUUCUGGGGCAAGGCCACAAGGCAAAGAUCACGCAACUACCCCUCCUCCCCAUUAUCCCCAACUCUGUCUUGCUUCCACACAAGCGUCUGCCAUAGCCAAGCCCAAGAUCCAACAACCUGUGAAAUCCCGAAGUAGAUGUAAUUUUCUAUGUCGGAGACAAACUGAAUUGUCCAGGAAAAUAAAUUUAUAAAUGCUUCACAGCUCCUAGUGAGGAUCAUUCUCAGGGCGGAAAAAGAGCAGAGUUAGUGUGGAAUCCAUACUGGUUACGUCAUCAUCAAAUCCUCAACACUUCGGGUUCCUUCAUUUUAGCAAAAAACAUCUGGAAUUGCAUGUUGCCACAGCUCCAGCUCCUCAAAUUAUCUUCCUCAAUUGAACUGGUUUGGAGGAAGAUCAACCCCAUGGUUUAGAUGGCUUUGGAGCACUUGGAAAAAUUUAAGAGCCUUGGAUUAUAACAUUCAUAUUCAAUUCUGAGAUGAUGGGAAAAUCCUUUAUUGAGGAAACGCUUCCAGAUCCUUAAGUAAUAAAACAGGAAGAAAGCAGAAUCCAAAUGCAGCAGCUGAGAUAGAGAAAUCUACGGACCAGUCAUAUGCUUAACAAUCUAGAUACAAUGAGACAAAUGCUAGAACAUGCCAAGAAAACAGCAGCCAUGCAAGAAAUGAUUCAAAAAAUAAAGCAAAAUUUUGAUAACAGGUUGAGUGUUUCCCAUGUGGACAAAUGCUUUAGUGGCUUGAACAAUGACCAUCAGGACCAAAAGGAGAGUCUGCACAAGAGCAGGUUGGCGGUGAUUCCUCUCCUUCCUUGCUGAGCCUUCCUACACAGAACCGUGAGGCACUUUAAACAGCCCAUGGCCCACAGCAGUUCCCUUAGUUCCCCAAAGCUCAGCAACUAACAGCAACAGCAUAGGGGGCUUUCAUCCCUGGCAUCCCCCACUAGAGUUUUACUGCACCAAAUAAAGGACCUAGGAUGGAGGAAUAAAGAAUAUCUUGCAACAGAUAAUUGAAAACCCACAGGUUAUGUGCAACGUGUAGGCUUUCUUUUCUACAAGAGCCACAGCACACUGAGAAUAGAGAAUCAGAUUCUAGUCCUUUCUUCUCCCUAGUCUCAGCCCCUCCUUGGGUU